GGAAAAAUUGUGACAAACUGCAAUAUCAGAGAGAUCAACCAAAUUGUAUUCCAAAAGGAAAGGAACUGAAAUGAGUUAUGCAGAUAAUGAUAUGCUGCAAAUUGCCAUUAAACUCUCAUGAUCUUAGUAGUACUAGUUUCUAUCUCACUACAAAAUGGUGAAUGGAUGGAUGACUAACUUGUAUGCAGUAAUUAAUAUCUCAAGUUUAAGAUAGUUUGCAAUAAAUUGCUAUCCUCAUGUUAUCAAGUGGUAUGAGCAUUCCCAAAUCUGUGUUCUGAAUAGGCUUUUAGCCAGGAAUUUCUUGGUGCCUC
This 311-nucleotide unclassified non-coding RNA is filed under the name Hevea brasiliensis (rubber tree). The record is from RNAcentral. Lineage: Eukaryota; Viridiplantae; Streptophyta; Magnoliopsida; Malpighiales; Euphorbiaceae.